This is a long non-coding RNA of Ostrea edulis (European flat oyster), 12882 nucleotides long. RefSeq lists it as uncharacterized. The record is from RefSeq and is a predicted model, not a curated record. The transcript has 3 exons. NCBI's taxonomy places the organism in Eukaryota, Metazoa, Mollusca, Bivalvia, Ostreida, Ostreidae.
GCUGUCCCAGUGAUACAAAUCUGCAGCUACGUUUUGAUAUGAAACAAUAUGCAUGUGGGGAAAAUCUAGAAAAAAAGACUACUUUUGAAUUGCGAGAGCGCAAGUAACAGUCUUUUCGUGAUCUGACAAUUAUUGAUUACCUACAUAUAAUACGAAUUCUCCAGUAACUGUUAAUAAACAAUAUUUAUUCACAAAGCAAGGGCCGUCAGGGAGAAUAUACAGUUUUAACAAAAAGAUUCAUUAUAAAUACAGUACAUGAUACUAUGUGUGUUAUGAAUAAAUUUCCACAUUGGUCAGAAAUUGGAUCAUGAAAAUAUUGACGAUGCACAAUAUACAUGUAAUAUAGAAAAUGAAAGGUGGCUUGAAUACAGACGCUACCAAGGGACGGAGCCUGUACACAAUCAGACGGGCAGUCCUGUACUCCAAGUAGUCAAGACAAUCCAUUCAUAAAUAAAUCUUCAUUUGAAAGCGACAGAAAAAGAUAAAAUACACAAGGACUUAAACAAGUUUAAUAUAAUACAUUUCCGUUUUUCGAGUAUUUAUAAACCUUUAUUGGUCAUGAGCCAGGUUAGCUUUUGAUCACUGUCCAUGUUAUGAAAGUUCCUACAGGAGCUACACUCAGCCGGGGCAUUGAUUCGCGCGGUCCCUUCACGCGCUUGUUUGAUCAUUGUUAUCUCUCAUGAUAAUGACCCACAGCUGUAGGGACCCGUGAUUACUGUAGAUUCGGAAUGGACAAAACUGGCUUUUUCCCCUCUACAAUCAAUGUUUUAGUUAAAUAGACAAUAGAAGACGUGAUUGAUUUCGUAUCUGGAAUACGUGAGUGGAUGCAGAGCACAAUGAUUUGUUUACCAGUGUUAAAGCAUCUCAACAAUUAACGCCAUACAAGACGAAGUGCAUUUUAAAUAUAGUGUCCAUUAUAUAUUACAAAUGUUGACUGUCCUCCGCGAAAACCACUACUUAAGCUCAUAUAGUUUUAACAAGUAAUGUUACUUUUGAAUAUUAUCCAAGCAUAGUCAACCAUGUGUGUUAAAGCAAAUUGCGACUUUCGAGUAAAGGACAGUAUAAUUAAUUCAACCUUGAGAAACAACAAGGUUGUUUGUUUUACUAUUGAUAAAUGGAUAAACACGGAUUGUUAUCUCACUUUUCUAUCUAUAUCUGUUCUCUAUAUCUUUUGCGCUUCAUUUUACGCAAAUAUCUUAAUUGCUCUCGAAGCGGUCACAAUGCACUUAUUCUUACAGUAUUGCCAAAACUUCCUGUUUUACAUCUAAAGGUGGAUUGUUUAACUCUGAAUGCAUACGUGUCAAAACGAGGCUCUACUUGAACUUUAAAUUGUCCGACAGUUGGUCAAUGUACAGAAAGAAGAUAACGUGAAUAUUUUGUAUUUCAUAAUUCUGUUAGGCUUGAUGUAAUUUAUGAGUCAAAUGUCUAAACAUGUGUUCUAGUGGCGAUUGCUCCGUCCGUCCGUUUGUCCGUCUAGAUGCGCUCCCUGUGACGUUCGCAGGAACACGUACACGUACUGUUCAAAAGUCACUUGCAACUUAUACGACAUGCGUUCCUCGGAACACUAUAAUUUGAAUAAUUACUGUCGAGGGACACAGUUUUAACAAAAAAAAUUCUUUUUUCUAAACUUAAAGGUUAUCAUUUCGGCAGAUGAAGAAUUAAUCCAAGUAAUAAAUUUGUUUGUGGAGAUCGAUAUUAUUUAAUAGACCGGAUGGUCACAUAAUGCAUGGAUAGGAAAUUUACGUAGAAAGAACACGUAAUAUUUGCUAGUACUCCAUAACCCCAACAGAUCAGAAGCCUGUAUCAACAUAAAUAUAUCGUGUUGGUUAAUAAAAUGAUUUCUGAAUGACCGCAAUUACCAGAAAGUUCCGUCAAAUGGUGAGGACAUAGCUUGAUUUUAUCGCGUCAUUCAAUAUCUUAAACAAGAUGAUGGAAUUCUGUAUUAAUACUAUGUUUACUUAUCCCCAUUUUUUGUACUAUUCUCCCCACAAAAACCGACCUACUAAUUAUUUAUCACAUUGUUUUGGGCGCAUGACGUCAUAAUUUCGCGCUGAACUAAACAGUAUUGUUUAUUUCCGGUCGUAAACCAACUCGAACUGACCUAAAGCAUGCAUAACUUGCACCUUAUUAUCACAAAUUUAUAUUGCAUCAUCAUUUAAAGACACUUACUACAAACAAAAUUUUCUACCUCCUUUUAAAGAUUUUAUUUCAGUUUUCGGCGGAAAAUGGGGCAUUUCCUUACUGUAGAGUAUUUAUUGAUACUUAUUUACCAGCACGAUGCACCUAGAGCAAUUUUAAUCAAUGUGUGAAAAGGCUUCCCGCGAUUACAGAGCGUCUCAAAACGGGAAAGCUCUGGAAACAAAUACCCAAUAAACACUAGUCAUUUGAUCAACUUGACUUCAUUUAGUUUGCAAUGUUGCUAUUUUCAUCGUGUUUUGCAUACCGGUAUUUAUUCACAUCUUGUACAGAAAUAUUUCAAAACGGAGAAGAUUGAUUUGUUUGUUGCAAGUAUCCUUAAUAAAAAGAGAGAAAAAUAAUAUACCUCUUCAAAUUUUAAUGUUGCAAAAAGUCUUAUUUUAUUAUAAAGAAAAACUGUAUUUGAUCUCGUAGGCUCCCAUAAACUACUUUAUUAUUGAUGAAUUAUUUCAUACGCAUACGGAGAAAAAAAGAAACAAAUUUUAUUGUCCCCAGUCAUAAACAAGAAUCAAAGAGAAUGAGAAUAUACCACACAGGCGCUCUACUUACUGCAGAUAAAGAAAAAAAUAAAAUAUGUUUUGGUGGCUGGUUAUGGAGGUCUAUGGACAUGCAUGAAUACAUCAACAGAAAAUAUCUGCAACAUUCAGAGACCCUUACAAACAUAUUUAUCUUUAAAACAGUAAGUUGAAACUCUUGGAUUUGUUGAGAAAACGUCACUAUCAAAACAGGGGUUGAAUGUUAUUUGUAUCGCUUCUUGUGACCAUGGUAUCGAUUCUUGUGACCAUGGUAUCGUGGCGCGAGUGGAACGAGGAGAAUAAGCCACCCGCCACAUUUCGGUUUUUUAAAAAAAAAAAAAAAUCUUAGUCACGUUUGGAAUCACAUCCUGUUCUGUUAAUUUGUUUUUGAUUAAUUAUUGAUGCAUACGAUACGUGAUAUAUUAUGUUUGUCCAUGUUAUGGACGUGACGAUAAACAACCAUCACGGUAAUUGAUUAAAAGUCCUGCUAUCUUUAGGUGUUUUUAUUCCUCAUACUUGACAUAGCGUAUUUGUCAACUAACAAGAACAAGGACAUAAAAAACAUUUCAUUUCAUUCCAAUUAUUCACUCAAACCAUUGUUAAGGGUACAAUUAUAUGAAUAUUACAUGAAUAUAUAUGUUCAUUAACCUUAGCAGAAAACAGAGUGAUGAGAGUGGCCCCUCUAAAUCUUAUCAAGAGGCAAGCUUGGUAUAUUAAUAGCUUUUUUGUAUUCAUCUUACCAAAACAAGAUAAAUGGACUCUAUCUCUGUUGAUAGACACAUCUCUCUAGAAGAACAGCGUCUCAUCUUAAUGAUGUAAAUAUCCCUUUUACUUAUUUGGUUAAAGAAAUGUAUUGAUUUACAGGGAACAGUCAUUUGUUCAUAUUGGUUGAACAUUUUUAUAUCUAACAUUUGCAUUAAAGGUCAUUCAAGCUCACACAAAACGUGUUCGAAAGAAACGUAUAUUUUGAAAUAAAACAAAAAUCGUGCCGCACUUGUCACGUUCAGGUAUAUGUAUAAUCUCCGUGAUAAAAAAAAAGUGCAGAAGUGCUAAAAUUAUAUUGAAAAUACAAAAUACUAAACCUUGUGGAAUAGAUAUGAAAGGAAGACCCGGAUUAGUCAAUGUGAUAAAGUAAUUAUUGGGUUCUUGUUUCUGACUUAUUCGAUGACACAGAUAUACAUAUAUAACACCCGUAGAGCGUGGUCAGAACUGCGCACUUCUCACCGGAAAUGUGAGAUCUUGGAACGACAGCUAGAUCUGCUCUUUCCAAGAAGCCUGGUUAACCAACCCUCUGGAUGCUGUAUUUAAACAACUUGCUAAUUGUAUCAACGGCGAUCGUCAUUUAUGCAACAAUUUUCGUCAAAAUAGGAGAAAAAUUGUUACAAAGUGUUGGACUUCAAAAAAUCAGUGUGUUUAUCUCUAUAUAGAUUGAACCGAUUAAUCUUAAACACCCUGUCUGGCACUGCCUGUAGGGGGACCUAUUCAUCUGAAUCACCCUGUCUGGCAUUGCCUAUAGGGGGGGGACCGGAUUUUUGGGCUGCUUCCUUUCUGAAAUCAAGACGAUUUGUAUGGUAGUACCAGCGCGUUUUCUCUUUAUGAUGCCAGACGGGUUUUAGAGAACACGAAAUGUUUUCAAAUCAAGCAGGCAAUUAUUGUGGACAGAUCUACCAACAUAUAUCCGUUUUGCUUUUCAUAAUUGAAAUAAAUUGAAAGUAUGUUUCAAGACCUAAUAGAAAGAGGAUUUAUGUUUCAAAUGUAGAUAAAUCCUAGGAAAGGAAGAAAUUAAACGAUAUGUUGACCACAAAUAGAACUAAAAAAAUAAACGCUGUUCACAGCAGUAUCUGAGGUUGAAGAAGAAUACGUACAAAUGAUCAGAGCGAGGACCUGACUGUGUUCAGCUCUUAAAUGAAAGAAAUACCUUAAAAAGAGAACAAAGAAAAAACAAGCCGUAUCGUCCGUAUGAUGUACCGCUAGCAGUAAUCCCCUAAAGCGUGUGCACUAAGCAGGGAUUAUCAGUCAUCUAUUAUAGUUUAUCUGGAUUUGUGUUCGUUCUAUUCACAAAAUAUUAACAAUCGGUUAAACUUGUCUGUAAACCGAGACACCAUUUGAUGUCCCUAACUUAGGUUAUACUGCGUAUUAAUUUUGGAUAGAAACAAAAUAAUCAUAUUGACUGGGUUUUGAUUUUUGUAAGUGCCCACUAGAUAUAACUAUAAACGCUUUUGAAAUAUGAUUUCCUUUGAGGUUAUUCAAAGUUUGUCAUCAAAUGUCAAAGAACUGCAAGGACGCACUGGAAUUCACGCGUGUAAUGCCUGAAAAAUGCAACAGUGAAGAAUGCAAGCAAAGCAGAGGGAAAAUAUAAAAAAAAAAAUUCAAUUUGAUAUGCGACAGAUAAUUUUGAUUUUUCUUUUGGGAAUUUCAAGAAUCUAUAGCUCUGUAAAUUACAUCCCUGGGGUACAAUUAUGACUGAUAAUCAACGCCAUUCCCGAUUUUACGUUUUUAGUUUUUCGUCUCAAUGUUGCAUCAUGCGAGUCUCUUUUGAGGGAUUUUUAUUGGUUAAACAUUGAGGACUGUGACCUUGAUCCAGUUUCCGAUCAAGAUCUAUUGUGCAUUGUAUUUGACCAGGAGACUGGAAUGGUUGAAAACUAAUAGUUUUAUGGCAUCUUUUAACAUUUAACUGUUUUCGGCUACAGAAACUUAAAUUCUCAUAUACAAGUUGGCUUUUACGACAAUGGAACAGUUAAAGGGGCAUUGGCUGUGAAAGUGAUGAUAACCAUUUUUUCUCAAAAUCUCCCAAUAUGGCACAUGAAUAUAUGUUAAAGACUAAUAAAAACAUGUAUUUUGUACAACAACAAGAGAAAUAUUAUAAACCAAGUUAGAUAACCGCUUUUAUUGUAAAGAAAUAUAUAAGGAAGAAUUAUUGUCUUGCAAGACAAUAAUCAUUUAUUCACCAAAAUCACAUUCAUGUGCUUGCUUUGAGGUAAAAAGGUGUUUGAAAAUAAUUACUGAUUAAAUACUGGUGUUAGUACUGAAAUACAUAAUACAAGCAAUUUUCAUUGAAUUCGAUUUUGGGGAACAAAAUGACAGCUAAUGCCCCUUUAAAGUAACAAUUAGGCAAUUUUUAUAACUAGAACUUUCACUACAUCCAUCGAAAACGAUAAGGCUCCAUUUUCGUGGAUAGUUGAGAUUUUACAGUGGAGAUAUGAUUUCGUGGAUAUAGCCUCUACAUACAUUGGUACAGUAAAUACCGGUAGACUGUCUAUUUUGUUGUAGUUUGAAGUUCGUGGGAUACGGGUACCCACGAAAUCCAUGAAAAUUGAGCCUCCACGAAAUAUACUGAGUCCACGGUAUGACGGAAUUAGCCCCAUGUUAGAUGAAAGAUCUUGUCUUUGCAUCCAGGACUAUUUAAGAAUUGAAGUUUUGAAAUGCACCUUAGGAGACCCCCCCCCCCCUCUUCCACCGGAAGGGCGUAGACUUCUUGUUAUUGGUUUUGUGGCUUUUGAGUGCACCUCUUAAUUUGAUAAACAAACAAACAAAAUAUACAUGUACCUGGAGAUUUAAAAAAAAAACCCACGACGAUAAGAUAAACUGGUACAACCUGUUUGUUGUUCUCCAAGUUCUUGUUUCUCGAUGGCCCGUUUUGUACCCGGACAUUUUUAGGAUCACAUUUCUGAGCUGUGUACUUUCCAAACAAAGAAACCACAAUUCGUGUACUGGGAACAAUGACGUGGAAGAAAGAAUAGUUCAAACUGAAUCAGCUAGAGAAUAAAAUGAGAUAAAUGAUAUCUCACUCUUUCAUGUCAUUUGAGGCACAUAGGAAUAUCAUGGCAGGCGUUUUGUUCUCUUUCAAUCGGAAUCUCUCGCUCUAUAGUAAAGGACGAGGAAUUCCGAUUGGUUCUGUUCCCUAGGGGUUCUUGACGGUUCAGGUAUGAAAUCCAAAUAAAAACGUAAACGCAGAUUUAGGGAGUCAUACGCGUGAACAUACUGCGGCUGCAGAGCAUAAGAUGCGCUUAAUCACCAAGUUUGAUGUGCUCUCUCCUUUCAAAUUCAACUCGAGUAUUUCUAUGUAUAAAAUCGUCGUUAUCUUAAAAAAACAAUAUAUAAUAUUUGUGAAUAUCAAAAAUAUAAUGAAAGGAACGAAGUCUCAUUUUGAACAUGGAUUUCAACAUCUAUGGACGAAUUUAGAGCAAGCUUAUGAUGGUAGCAAAGUUGCUAAUGGUCAAGGAUAGUUUUUUCAAAAGUAGUCCAAACCCCAAUGUCUGGAUCACGUGAUCAAAACUUUUGCUACUCGGAAAAGGUCUUGUCAUAAGUAAUACACAUAUCAAAUAUGAAAGCCCCAUCACCAUCCAUUCAAAAAUUAAGACCAGGGUUAUUUUUGGCGGUCAAACAGACAUACUAUAUGGAGCAUAAUAUUCUAUCCGACUUUACUUAGGAGCUUCUCUCAGUAGAGUUACAUGCAUGUUCUAAAUGAAAUUCAGAGUUCCACUGCUUUAAAUACAUUAAAUACCCAGAGAAUAAUUUCAGACCCAUAUCAAAAUUAGAGAUUGGUACAUGUAACUAUUAAGUAUUGGAGAAAAAUCAGCUCUUUUUGUGUUGAAUUAUGGACAUUAACAUUAUUACAUUUUGAAUUUUCACUCAAUCAUUAAACAGAUCUGCAUCUAAACUGUUCGCAUUAUUGCAAAAUUGAUAACGUAAGAUAUUUAGUUUUCAAAUACCUACAUUAUGUCACUUUGGCGGUGUAUCACAAAAUGGUUUUUGAUACGGAUUUAUAUUUAUAUAGUGAGAGAAGUAUUAACUGACCAUUCAUCCACAGUUUGGUCGCUGAUGUCUAAAUUUGUGGUACAUCACCUACAGCUGGUGACAUCUCAAUACGAGUGAAAAACUCUCAAAGGGACGUAGAAGAAAUAAACAAUUAAUUACAAUGACCCUUUGCACUGUUAUGAAAUUUUAGCAUGCACGUUCAACAUAUGAUAUUGGUAUGUAGAACUGAACUUGACGUCAAGCAGUGGAUUGUGUGCAACAUCUCCAACUUUGCCAUACUGUCAUGGUCGUACGAUUUUGUUGAAGAUAAACCGCACAACCUGCUACCUAAAGACAAAACCUGUUGUCGCAUGGGUAAAUCUGAAUAUACAAUCGAACAAAGCUCGAUCAUCUGAACGUUCAACCUUUAGAUAUUGGUCACGACAUGGAUAUUUAAAACGAAACCUGGUUUGUCUCCGUCGUGAUGAGACAAAACCUGGAUGAAUGUAUGCCUACUACAUCGAGACUUAAGUUGCAUAUAUAGAUUGUAUCUCAUUCGCUAUUAUGUUAGUAUAAGAUUGCUUUAGUUACGUCAAAAAAUAUUUCUUUCAAGGACCGGAUAUCCCCUCGAGGUCACGCGAAAGCUAGGAAGUCUUGUCGCAGAUUUUUGAUUUGAUGGCAGUAUGUCGGAAGGUUAUUGGUUAAGUAUGUAUAUUGCCCGAUUUUUUGUUUGUUUUGUAACUAGACAAGACAACAGUGUCGGUAUACAAUAAUAUUUUGUUGUAAGGUUUAUAUCACAAGAGCUUUGUUUGUUAGCUUUUAAUUUAAGGCACGUCAAGGAUAUGUGUAAAUGCAAAAUAAUGUCGGUUUAUGUCAUUAUUCUGAGUUUAGUAAUAUUCCAUCAUUACCUGCAUAUGUUUAUGUCUCUCGUUUGAUCGGCAAGAGCAUGUUGUCCGUAUGAUCAAAUCUUAAAUCGAAGCAGACUAAUGACAAUUAAAUUGAUGUUACAAGGGUUUGAAAGUCUCGUUUAAAAUCAGCAUUUCGUAAAUUAUAUGGUCUUUGUAGUGAUCUAAUUUACAAAUUUAACCUGCCAUGAGGUCGAAUACGGAUUUUGACUACGGAUUACUCCGUUUACCUGAUCAAGAUAAAGGCCCCUUGGCGGGUGUGACCAGUCAAUAGGGGAUAGUUAUUCCUCCUAGGCAUCCGAUUCCACUUCCGGUAUAUCUAGGGGGUCCGCGUCUGCACUAUUCUUAAUUUUGUAUUCUUUAUGAGAUUGAUCAUUGUUAUCUUCACUUCCAUAUUUAGGGAUGUAAUAGAGAUUGAUCACACGGAAUUAUGUAUCUCUUCAUGCAUGCAGAUGUUUAUUGAAAUCAAACUACGAUUUAGCAGAUUGAACACUACGCUUCAACUCUUCAAUGAAUAGUCCAAUCACAUAGGGUAUUAAGAAUUUCACAAUUUCUCUGUGUUCAACUUUAAAUUAAAUAUCUGCAUAUAUUUUCGUAAAGUGCAUACAUUCAAGUAUAUUUCAUCACAUUUAUAUUGGUCCAUUUAGAUUUCCAUGCGCAUAGUUUUAUGGAUGCACACAUGAUACGAUAUUUACAUUUUCAAUGUUUUUGUCUCAGCUAUAUCUACAAAUUGUAAUGAUAACCACUUCCUCAUGAAUGCAUUGCAGUUGUAACAAUGCGCGUAUGAAUCUUGAUAAAUAUAGUGCGUCUAUUUUAACGACUGAAUUGAAAGUAGAAUGUAAAUACAAGAAAUAAACUUCAUUUUUGAAAACACAUUAAGGUAUGAUCUACAACGCUUCACGCCGGCAAAGUUUUUACGAAGCGCUACAUGAGGUAUGUCGGCGGGAAGUGUCGUAGUACAUACCAUAGCCGUUUUUCAUGUGUUAACGCAUUUAUAUGAACUAAAGAGAGGGAUUCUUCAUCUAUUGUAACAAAGAGGUUAGAUAAGUUUUCCUAUGUUAGAUUGCAGUCUGAACGCACUAUAGCUGGACAUCUACUGCACCCCGAGAGUAACCUGAACAGACUAAAUGCUUGUCAUUGAAACAUCUGUGGUAAACUUCGGCAUUGUGAGUCGCAACCUUCGAUCUAUUAUGUACCAAAUAUUUGAAAUAUGUUUAUGCAAUUUGCAGUUCAAACAACGGACUGAAGCGCAGUCAUUUAAAAAAAAAUCUGUUUCUAUUGAGAAAUGAUACGCACUGUAUCCAUGUAUUCUCUAAGUACGACACGGUCGGUUAAAUAUUGUUAUUUAUUUUGUCAAAUUUUAAAUGCUACACUAUAAAGCUAUCAUCAAAAGAGUACAGCAGCAAGCUCAGCCAAGCCGGAAGCGGUCUUUGUAAUUUGACCGGCAGUUUACAUUAAAUUCUGGCUAUUAAGAUGGUCUCUGCUGAUUAAGGAGCCUGGUCAGCGCGUGGGUGUAAAACAUCCGCCAUUUCUGGCCCGCACGUGUAGACGUAUCGGGUUCCUACUGAAAUUCAUGACCGCUAUCAUUGCUGUCGUUUAGUAUUAUUCGUGUAUUGAUGACUAACUAAGUCCAUGCUUUGUAACGAAUUUUUGAGAGAUGCAAGAUGUUCGAUAAGCGCGGGGGGAAAAAAACUACUGAAGACUUCAAACUACUCACAUCUAAUGACAAAAAACCACAACACAGAUAGAUUAAUUUUAUAGUUGCAUUUCGCUUAGCCUUUGAUGUGUGCAUUAGUAAUGAGUAAAAUACCACAGUGGUGAUGCAUGUAUACAGGACUAGCAAUAUCUCCUUAUUAUUUUGUACGUCUCUGUACAGUUGUUAAAACAGGGGCUUCCCCUACAUUGGAUAGUAUAUUCAUCUCUAUUUUUCGACAUUGGCAAUGAGGAUGUAGUGUGCGCUUUUGUUAACCAUCCGGGUAUUCUAGAUAAGUAAUUGUAUGACGCGGCCGAUAGCUUUGCGCUACUUUUAUCAUACUUUACAGAUAUUAGUUGACGUCAGUGAUGUUCCUUUUUACAAAUUUAAAUUCUCUUUCUCCCCCCCCCCUCUCUCUCUCAUACACGAUUUGCAAAGUUCUUUGAAAUAUUCCAGCGCAAGGAGACCUGUUUUCACUGAAAACUUCUGUAUUGGGUUUACCAAAAUCCGUCAUAUCCUUUGACAGAACUCGGACCCACUUUAUGCUGGCAAUAUUAUGAUAUUACCGUUUUAUAGCAAACUGGACUCGAAUACGGAACGGGGCAGUGUUACAAUCCUGGUCUUCAAUGCGUGCGGACCGCACCAGUCUGGAAAAACCUGCAUUUUAUCAAAUUAGAUUCAAUAUAAAUGCAAAUCGCAUGAGACUGUACAAAUGACAAAUGUGUUGAAAUAAAAUAACCUUGAUAAUGAAUUAUUCAUUAAGCUGAAAUAUUUCAUUCAUUACUCUAAAGUUGUCGAAACUUUUUCUAAAUGAGAUGUGAAACCGGUUUCGAAAUUCCGAUAAGUUUUAUUUCAAGGAAGGCGUAUUCAAAACAGACAUUACUAAUAUUUUAAGUAUCGCACCUGUAAUACGAGUCAAGAUAACAUGUCGAGUAUUUUGCAAUGCGCAUAUUGGAUUAAAUAUCCCCCGUUUUACUGUAGCCUACAAUAUUUGUUAGAAUAGAAUUGAAACUUUCGCACUUGAUGAGAAUAAAAUCGUGGCACACACGUGUAUAGAAUUGAAACUUUCGCACAUGAUGAGAAUAAAAUCGUGGCACACACGUGUAUAUUGGAUUUCCCACUUUCCGAAAAUAAGUGCACACUCUAGAAACUAAUUCAUAUAUACUGAAAUAACCACACAAUCACCUUAUGCAUUUCAUUGAGGAUUCCUCGACGGCGAACUCUAGACUUACGCGCAUGCAUUCCGCAGACGAACCUGAUAGUAAUCUAAUAAAAAGACUAGAUCAGGGGUUCACAUAAAACUUACAUAACUAUUCACAACACGUAAGGUCACCUUAACCCUAUUUUACCUACUUGGCGACUCUCUCAAAAUGCAUGAAUAUUUUCUUUUCUGUAAAGCCUCGGGUGAUUUCAAUAUGGAUUUAAAGUCUCCAGUUGUUUUAAUGCUUCUUUUCAUUCAAGAAUGUAUUUAGUCGAUGAAAAUGAAUUUGUAGGUGGUCGAACGGUCACGUGUCAGCGAACAGGAAUGUUACUAAUGUGUAAUAAAAUAUAAAAAUACGCCUUAGUAUCAUGUAUGAUAUGUAAUGUCGUAAAUAGGAGAGAGAAAAAAAAACAAGACAAAAGAAUUAGAAUAUUUCUUUUUAUCUAUAAGGAAUUCCUCGGGCAUGCUUACAGAGUGCUCAUGCACCAUGUGCUAGCUCGGGUCAUCACCGUUUGUUAUGACAUACCGCAUUCCACUGGCUACAGAAAUACAUGUAGCAUAGCAUGAACAAACUUGAAACUCGGGUCUUAUACGAUCUGUCGUGCUCGUAAUAUAGUGAUCACUAUUUGAUAAAAUGUUCAUUUACUGAUCCAGACGUGAACCCUUGCAUGAAGCACCGCGUACUCUUUAAAGACAUUUGAUACUUAAAAAAGAAGAAGAAAGAAUGAAAGAAGUUGCAUGGGUUGAUAUAUAUUUUGUAGCGUCCAUAAUUCAUCAAUAAAUCAUAUGAUAUAUUUUAUUACUUAGUUUGGUUGUAAUAAGUACAAAUAAGAAAUUCCUUUUAAAUUUUUUUUAGGGACUUGUAAAUUUUCUAUGAUGUUCAAAAGUUGAAACAUAUUACAUCUCUAUAUAACUAUAAAUUUUCCCUUCUGUUUUGGAGUUAAUUAAUUGAGAUUUUAUGGGAAUAAAUUAAAUUCCACACGAUAAAUUGUAUUAAUUCUACUUAUACAAACAUAAAUUUUGUUAUAAUUUUUAUCAUUUUGAAUAAAGUUUGUAGCAAGUGUGGGUAAGCCUUCUCCUGUUGUCAGUGAGACCAUCAGCACUUUAACAUUGGGACUACUUUAUCCAAGACAUUCUGGACUAAAUCCUGAAAGAUUUAAAUGUCGUCAAAGGAUAAUAAAUAGACUGAUAUGUAUAAAAUCUCCCACGAUCUUUGACUCAGAAUAGAUAAUCAUUGUAGCAUGGAAUUUCUUUCAUUCAUAACAUUCCUUUACAGACAAUAUAUUGCAGGCUAAACUUCAUGUAGUUCUCCAUGUCCGUCCUUUUUACUUCGCAUAUCGCAAUUUUUCACGCAAGAUCAAUUUACAUGUUACUGGCAACUAUCCAGGUCACCGAGAAAAAUACCCCCAAAAAUUCGUAGAUAUAACAUGCACACCGUAGAAUUUGUAAAAAAAAAUAAAAAAUCAAAAAGAAAAAAUCACGAGAAGUCUAAGAGUGCACUUGUUCACCCACGAAAACAUCCUUGAGACGACGAAAGGGAAUUCAGUUAAUGACUUCUCUGUACCGGGAUUCGGCGGUGAGUUUGUUUCUGGAGAUAGCAUACACCGUGAUUCAUGAACGAAUUGAACAAAUAAU